Small nuclear RNA from Elgaria multicarinata webbii, 162 nucleotides. RefSeq annotates it as U1 spliceosomal RNA. The transcript has a single exon. The record is from RefSeq and is a predicted model, not a curated record. NCBI's taxonomy places the organism in Eukaryota, Metazoa, Chordata, Lepidosauria, Squamata, Anguidae.
AUACUUACCUGGCACAGGAGACACCUUGAUCACAAAGGCCAUUUUCCCGGGGUGAGGCUCAUCCAUUGCAUUCUGGGUGGGCUGACCCCUAUGAUUUCCCCAAAUGUAGGAAACUUGAUUACAUUAUUUGAGGUAGUGGGGGACUGCAUUUGCACUUAAUUA